This 787-nucleotide ribosomal RNA is filed under the name uncultured bacterium. RNAcentral's name for it is "bacterial SSU rRNA". It matches the Rfam family "Bacterial small subunit ribosomal RNA", at positions 8 to 796 of the family's 1533-position model. The record is from RNAcentral.
AGAGUUUGAUCCUGGCUCAGGAUGAACGCUAGCGGCAGGCUUAACACAUGCAAGUCGAGGGGUAUAGUUCUUCGGAAUUAGAGACCGGCGCACGGGUGCGUAACGCGUAUGCAAUCUGCCUUUCACAGAGGGAUAGCCCAGAGAAAUUUGGAUUAAUACCUCAUAGCAUAACCUAACCGCAUGGUUGAGUUAUUAAAGUCACAACGGUGAAAGAUGAGCAUGCGUCCCAUUAGCUAGUUGGUAAGGUAACGGCUUACCAAGGCUACGAUGGGUAGGGGUCCUGAGAGGGAGAUCCCCCACACUGGUACUGAGACACGGACCAGACUCCUACGGGAGGCAGCAGUGAGGAAUAUUGGUCAAUGGGCGCAAGCCUGAACCAGCCAUGCCGCGUGCAGGAUGACGGUCCUAUGGAUUGUAAACUGCUUUUGUACGGGAAGAAACAACUCUACGUGUAGAGUCUUGACGGUACCGUAAGAAUAAGGAUCGGCUAACUCCGUGCCAGCAGCCGCGGUAAUACGGAGGAUCCAAGCGUUAUCCGGAAUCAUUGGGUUUAAAGGGUCCGUAGGCGGUUUAGUAAGUCAGUGGUGAAAGCCCAUCGCUCAACGGUGGAACGGCCAUUGAUACUGCUAGACUUGAAUUAUUAGGAAGUAACUAGAAUAUGUAGUGUAGCGGUGAAAUGCUUAGAGAUUACAUGGAAUACCAAUUGCGAAGGCAGGUUACUACUAAUGGAUUGACGCUGAUGGACGAAAGCGUGGGUAGCGAACAGGAUUAGAUACCCUAGUAGUCC